GUCCCUGUAGCGCAAUGGAUAGCGCGUUGGACUUCUAAUCCAAUGGUAGUGGGUUCGAAUCCCUCCUAGGGGAUG
Trichonephila clavipes is the source of this 75-nucleotide non-coding RNA. NCBI's taxonomy places the organism in Eukaryota, Metazoa, Arthropoda, Arachnida, Araneae, Nephilidae. The record is from the annotation of a GenBank genome assembly.